GGCUUAUACAUGCAGUCGUGGGGCAGCAGGUUCCGAGCAAUCGGAAUGCUGGCGACCGGCAAACGGGUGCGUAACACGUACGCAAUCUACCCAUUACAGGGGAAUAGCCCAGGGAAACUUGGAUUAAUACCCCAUAUUAUAUAGGAUUGGCAUCAGUCUUAUAUCAAAGCUUCGGCGGUAAUGGAUGAGCGUGCGGUUGAUUAGAUAGUUGGCGGGGUAACGGCCCACCAAGUCUACGAUCAAUAGCUGAUGUGAGAGCAUGAUCAGCCACACGGGCACUGAGACACGGGCCCGACUCCUACGGGAGGCAGCAGUAAGGAAUAUUGGGCAAUGGACGAAAGUCUGACCCAGCCAUGCCGCGUGAAGGAUGAAGGUCCUCUGGAUUGUAAACUUCUUUUAUCUGGGGCGAAAAUCACCCUUUCUAGGGUGCUUGACAGUACCAGAGGNAAUAAGCAACCGGCUAACUCCGUGCCAGCAGCCGCNGGUAAUACGGGAGGGUGCAAGCGUUAUCCGGGAUUUACUGGGUUUUAAAGGGUGCGUAGGCGGGCAGGUAAGUCAGUGGUGAAAUCCCCCGAGCUUAACUCCGGGAACUGCCGUUGAUAC
Molecule: ribosomal RNA, 603 nt
Filed under: uncultured Bacteroidota bacterium
Lineage: Bacteria; Pseudomonadati; Bacteroidota
Description: bacterial SSU rRNA
Rfam family: Bacterial small subunit ribosomal RNA
Source: RNAcentral